CUUCAACUAUAAACAACCAUAUCGUUCGUUUGAUCGACCAGUCGGUGUAGAAGACAUUUAUGUUUCUACGGCGACGCCGAUGCGUACUCAACUUCACAUGCGAGGGGGGACCGGCUAAACGGAGAGUUAUGAAGUGGAGAGUUACUAGUAUCUCGGAGAGUUAUGAUUUCGGAGAGUUGGUUCUAACCACGCCCACUUUUCCCAACGACCACACCCAAUUUCUUAACUCUCCCGAU
Molecule: non-coding RNA, 236 nt
Organism: Paramuricea clavata
Lineage: Eukaryota; Metazoa; Cnidaria; Anthozoa; Malacalcyonacea; Plexauridae
Source: the annotation of a GenBank genome assembly